RNAcentral lists this ribosomal RNA (253 nucleotides) under uncultured bacterium. Its description in RNAcentral is "partial 16S ribosomal RNA". It matches the Rfam family "Bacterial small subunit ribosomal RNA", at positions 524 to 776 of the family's 1533-position model. The record is from RNAcentral.
GACAGAGGUGCCAAGCGUUAGGCGGAAUCACUGGGCUUAAAGCGUGCGUAGGUGGUUCGUUAAGUCUGUCGUGAAAGCCCCGGGCUCAACCUGGGAAUGGCGAUGGAUACUGGCGGGCUAGAGUGCGGUAGAGGAGAGUGGAAUUCCCGGUGUAGCAGUGAAAUGCGUAGAGAUCGGGAGGAACAUCAGUUGCGAAGGCGGCUCUCUGGACCAGCACUGACACUGAGGCACGAAAGCGUGGGGAGCAAACAGG